RNAcentral lists this unclassified non-coding RNA (358 nucleotides) under Hevea brasiliensis (rubber tree). Lineage: Eukaryota; Viridiplantae; Streptophyta; Magnoliopsida; Malpighiales; Euphorbiaceae. The record is from RNAcentral.
AAAUAAUGCAGGCAAAACAAGAUUCUGUGAAACUUACACCCCAGCCUCUUAACCCCCAAGAAAGAAGAGAGUAAAUAAAUGAACAUUAUUGGAACUUGGAAGAUUAAAAAGGGGAAAAAAAAUUAUACUUGAUCUGAUUGUCCAAGAUCUAUACAACUGUUAAGAUGCCAAACCAAAUUAUGGACAACUCCAUUGAUCGAUUAGGUAUAUGAUCACAAAAAAUUUGAUGAUGCAAAAUCAAGUUAGAAAGAUGAAAUAUGAAAACUAAUUUUGUCGAGAUUUCAGAUUAUUACCUUGCAUCCAAAGUUUUCCAUUUUUUACAGAAAAUAUGCAGACAUUUUCUCAGCAACCAAACGGA